AGGGCUCUGGGCCUGCAGCACAUGCAUUCGGCAAGGUGACAGCUUCCCCUAAACACUCGAGAACUCCUUGUUAUGUUAGUAGAAAAUACCUAUGGCUUGAAUAUUUUGUCAAGUGCAUUUUUCUGUUUUUAAGUUGGCCAACAAUGUUAAUAACUGCAUUCAACACACACACACACAAAACAUAUGCCAAUAAGCGACGUCCUUUAUCUCAGGGAGCGAGUCUGUUCAAGGUCUACACAAGGGAAUUGACUCCAAUGGGUCUACAACAACCACACACCAUCCAGGCACUGGACUAGUCAGAAAGUGUUAGAGAGAAUGUCACUCACACUAGAAGCCCCUUCUAGAAUGUAGGUUACAAACGCUGACAGAAUGGGCUUCAACCUUGAUUUCCUGGGGCCCCGAUGAAGGCUCCGGCCCUCCCUGGACGUCUGUGUCUUCAUUUCUUAGGCAGGCGUGAUGUUGUCCUAUGGACCUCACUCCAUGCUACCUCACAAAUCUGUUGUGAGGAUUAAUGAAGUUAUGUCUACAGUGGUUUUAGUUUCUGGAG
Molecule: long non-coding RNA, 547 nt
Filed under: Bos taurus (domestic cattle)
Lineage: Eukaryota; Metazoa; Chordata; Mammalia; Artiodactyla; Bovidae
Description: long non-coding RNA NONBTAT022586
Source: RNAcentral